GUGGGGAAUUUUGGACAAUGGGCGAAAGCCUGAUCCAGCCAUGCCGCGUGCAGGAUGAAGGCCUUCGGGUUGUAAACUGCUUUUGUACGGAACGAAAAGACUCUGGUUAAUACCUGGGGUCCAUGACGGUACCGUAAGAAUAAGCACCGGCUAACUACGUGCCAGCAGCCGCGGUAAUACGUAGGGUGCAAGCGUUCAUCGGAAUUACUGGGCGUAAAGCGUGAGCAGGCGGUUAUAUAAGACAGAUGUGAAAUCCCCGGGCUCAACCUGGGAACUGCAUGUGUGACUGUAUAGCUAGGGUACGGCAGAGGGGGAUGGAAUUCCGCGUGUAGCAGUGAAAUGCGUAGAUAUGCGGAGGAACACCGAUGGCGAAGGCAAUCCCCUGGGCCUGUACUGACGCUCAUGCACGAAAGCGUGGGGAGCAAACAGGAUUAGAUACCCCGGUAGUCC
RNAcentral lists this ribosomal RNA (450 nucleotides) under uncultured bacterium. RNAcentral's name for it is "bacterial SSU rRNA". It matches the Rfam family "Bacterial small subunit ribosomal RNA", at positions 354 to 796 of the family's 1533-position model. The record is from RNAcentral.